GGUUUCCGACACAUUCCACCGCGAGAGGCGCUUCAAGAAAAGUUUAGCUCUAUCGGAACCUAAUGGAAACUAUUGGAUGUUCCAUCAAAUUCCAACAGAUGGUGACUCCAUAGUGCAAACAAGUUUACCGUGGCUAUCCAUAAUUAGGAUUAGAAUGAAUUUUAUGAAAUUUGUUCCUGAUUGAACAUUGAGUAGAAAUUUUAAAACGCCAUUUAGCGCAUUGUUCUUAAUUCUCAAUGUUUUUUUUGUAAAACAAAUUACAUGCAACUAUUUUUGGUAAAAAUUAGUAUUAAAAACAAUUAAAUUAUUCAAUUUGAGCUCGAAUAGUACAGUACUAGGUGCAGUACGGUAAAACUGCUGCAGCAACAUUUUGACAGUUCGUUUUUGUUUGGGCCAAUCAGCGUUGAGAUCGCAGCAACAGCAGCCAAACAAAAUGUAAAUAAUGUAGUCAAAUUGGAGAAAAAAAACUAUCGCGGUUUCCAGUGGGAGAUUAUUUUGUCGAAACGGAUGCGGAGUGGGAUACAGCGAUACGCCUGAGACAUGCUGCAAGAUACGAAACAUAUGCACUCGCCUGCGCAAGAAUCGAACAGCUAUCAAAAUUCUAGCGAAUCGAAGGACGGAGAGGACACUUCAAGGAUGGAAGAAGUAUCGAACGACAAUUAUCUUGAAGAUAGGUAUGCAGGCUUUUCGAGGAGGAGAAAUCUAAGAGCGAUCAGCUCUGGAAGAAAAUCGGUCGGUUCCGCAAGAGAUCGUCGCGCGAAGGAACAGCAUCAAGCGCGAGGAUCGUGAAAGCAAGACAUCACAACAACACCCUGUAAGAGAAGCUGAAGCGGCGGCGUAACGAUUGCAGAGUGACAUGAAUGCUGUAUCCAAACACAGCAAUUUCCUGGAGCAAUCUAAGAUCAACGCGAGCUAAUGAAUUUUCUGAUGGAAGCAUUCCAGUUUCGUGCAACAAAACGCUGGUCUAAAAUAAUAGCCAUUGGAGCGGUUAAGGUGAUACCCAGUUCACUGGCAUAAGUGCUGCUCCGAUUCGGACAUCUUAUCUAAUAUCAUAUCUGCUAUUUCUAUAAAUAAAAAUGAAAUCGUAAAAUGAA
Molecule: long non-coding RNA, 1094 nt
Organism: Aedes albopictus (Asian tiger mosquito)
Lineage: Eukaryota; Metazoa; Arthropoda; Insecta; Diptera; Culicidae
Exons: 2
Source: RefSeq, a predicted model, not a curated record